Molecule: non-coding RNA, 1758 nt
Organism: Rattus norvegicus (Norway rat)
Lineage: Eukaryota; Metazoa; Chordata; Mammalia; Rodentia; Muridae
Source: RefSeq, a predicted model, not a curated record
GCAGCUGGGCCGCGUUAUAAGCUGUCUUUGUCUUAUUCAGUGUCCCAUAAUGGAUUUGCUAGAACAUGCCAUCUGAAUCAGGGAAAUGCAAUUACUGACUGCCGUUGCUUCCAGUAAGUGGCCAACUCUGCCAAUCUGGCUUAAGAAUGUAGCCCGUUAAGCUCAGCCAUGGGGGCCGUUCUGACGAGGGCCUGUUCCGCAGGCGCUGGGCACACGGCAGGGCCCUUGUCCCACUUUUUAACUGCUUUUGGAGACGUUCUGAGUGGCACCAGUGAAAUUUUCCCUGGCAAAUGAAAGUGCUCCCUCCCCAGGGCAACUGGCUCUCCAGCAGGAUGGGGAGGGAGUAUUUCUACACACCCAAGCCACCUAGAGCUCCCAUUCAGCAGCCCGAGAUGCCUGGAAGUCAAGUGGGGACACGCUGAGUCAGCACUAAACAAAUCAUGGCAUUGGAGUCUUUUAGAGUUGGAAGGAGUGUGGGGAUGGUUACACCAAAGACAACGUCAAGGUCCACGACAGAGUGUCUGGGAAUUGCUGUUACCCCGGCAUGAGCCUUUUAGACGCUGGGAUCCACAGCAGGACGGAAGCUGAACUGGGGUACGAGGCACAGGCGUGAUCUCGGUGAGCAACAAAGAGUGAAAGAAGUGUGUGAUUGGGACUGGUUAGUGCCUGGCGUUUCCCAGCAUGCUUAGCUACUGUCACAUCUGCCCCAUUAAGACAGACAGACACUGCCAUGGCUUUGCAGUCCUCUGUAAACACACAGUGAAAUUUAUUUGCCGCUGUGGAGGCCUGAGGGAUGAGGCCUUCGCACAGAUUAGCGGGUGAAGGGGUGGUGAGGAGGCGGGCUGCAGGGUGUGCUCUAUCUUCCUUGGUCCAGCCAUCCUCAGCUUCGCCAUUUUAGAGCGCAGCCAAGGAGGCCGUCAUCAGAUUUAUCCCCUCGAUUUUAGACUUCCCCGUCUCCACAAUGAUGAGCUACACCAACUUCUAUGGUUUAUAGUUUACACCGUCUGUGUGACGCUGUGAUAGGAACAAUAGGCCAACUACCAUACACACUCAUUUGGGACCAGGCAUUAGCACUGGCUGAAGAGGACACCAACAAGUGUAAGACACACACCACCAGCCUCAGGAUACACGACGGAGCAAGGAGAGAACCAUGCUGCUUCAUGAGCACCAUGUGCACAAUGUCUGACAGGUGGAGGUGAACCCAGGCGCCUCUAAGCCAGUUUUUCUGGCUUCCGGGUAAUAAACGAAAUAAGGAAGGCUUUAAGCUCCACAAGGAAGGAUGGUAUCUGGUGAGGAAGAUGUAUGUGGUGUGCGGAAUGCCAGAGGCUUGGGGAACACUGAAUUGGGUUUGGGUGAGUGGCAAGAAAUAAACUCAGUCUAAGUCUGGCACCUUAGAGGGGGAAGGGGUCAGUGCUCAUUCCUCAGGGGACUCUGAAAUGGCAGCUGAAUUCAAAUGUCUGUCUUUCCCACACUUGGAUGGCAUUUGAGAAGAGUUCUGGGAUGCUGAGGGCUGCUGGAGAAAUGAAAACGGCAGGAUUGUGUGUGACAGCCCACAUAUGCAAGGACCUGUAUCCAUCAAUGGAUGGAUAAGGGCAGCUUGUAUGAAGCCUCACAGGAAGAAGAAAUCCAGUCAUUUGAGACAACACAGAUGGACCUAGAAUUGUGAUCAAUAAAAUGCCCUGAGCGCAGAAGAUAAAUGUUUUACUCAUUGCAUUGUUGUUGUGUAGACCCUGGUGAGGCUGGACUCUCAGAAGCUGA